CCUACGGGAGACUGCAGUGAGGAAUAUUGGUCAAUGGACGAGAGUCUGAACCAGCCAAGUAGCGUGAAGGAUGACUGCCCUAUGGGUUGUAAACUUCUUUUAUAUGGGAAUAAAACGUUCCACGUGUGGGAUUUUGUAUGUACCAUAUGAAUAAGGAUCGGCUAACUCCGUACCAGCAGCCGCGGUAAUACGGAGGAUCCGAGCGUUAUCCGGAUUUAUUGGGUUUAAAGGGAGCGUAGGUGGAUUGUUAAGUCAGUUGUGAAAGUUUGCGGCUCAACCGUAAAAUUGCAGUUGAAACUGGCAGUCUUGAGUACAGUAGAGGUGAGCGGAAUUCGUGGUGUAGCGGUGAAAUGCUUAGAUAUCACGAAGAACUCCGAUUGCGAAGGCAGUUCACUGGACUGCAACUGACACUGAGGCUCGAAAGUGUGGGUAUCAAACAGGAUUAGAUACCCCAGUAGUC
Molecule: ribosomal RNA, 460 nt
Filed under: uncultured bacterium
Lineage: Bacteria
Description: partial 16S ribosomal RNA
Rfam family: Bacterial small subunit ribosomal RNA
Source: RNAcentral